This 515-nucleotide ribosomal RNA is filed under the name uncultured bacterium. RNAcentral describes it as "partial 16S ribosomal RNA". It matches the Rfam family "Bacterial small subunit ribosomal RNA", at positions 28 to 523 of the family's 1533-position model. The record is from RNAcentral.
GAUGAACGCUGGCGGCGUGCCUAAUACAUGCAAGUCGAGCGAAUGGAUUAAGAGCUUGCUCUUAUGAAGUUAGCGGCGGACGGGUGAGUAACACGUGGGUAACCUGCCCAUAAGACUGGGAUAACUCCGGGAAACCGGGGCUAAUACCGGAUAACAUUUUGAACCGCAUGGUUCGAAAUUGAAAGGCGGCUUCGGCUGUCACUUAUGGAUGGACCCGCGUCGCAUUAGCUAGUUGGUGAGGUAACGGCUCACCAAGGCAACGAUGCGUAGCCGACCUGAGAGGGUGAUGGGCCACACUGGGACUGAGACACGGCCCGCACUCCUACGCGAGGCAGCAGUAGGGAAUCUUCCGCAAUGGACGAAAGUCUGACGGAGCAACGCCGCGUGAGUGAUGAAGGCUUUCGGGUCGUAAAACUCUGUUGUUAGGGAAGAACAAGUGCUAGUUGAAUAAGCUGGCACCUUGACGGUACCUAACCAGAAAGCCACGGCUAACUACGUGCCAGCCGCCGCGGUAA